RNAcentral lists this ribosomal RNA (253 nucleotides) under uncultured bacterium. RNAcentral's name for it is "partial 16S ribosomal RNA". It matches the Rfam family "Archaeal small subunit ribosomal RNA", at positions 474 to 727 of the family's 1478-position model. The record is from RNAcentral.
UACCAGCACCCCGAGUGGUCGGGACGUUUAUUGGGCCUAAAGCAUCCGUAGCCGGUUCUGCAAGUCCUCCGUUAAAUCCAACUGCUUAACAGGUGGGCUGCGGAAGAUACUAUAGAGCUAGGAGGCGGGAGAGGCAAGCGGUACUCGAUGGGUAGGGGUAAAAUCCGUUGAUCCAUUGAAGACCACCAGUGGCGAAGGCGGCUUGCCAGAACGCGCUCGACGGUGAGGGAUGAAAGCUGGGGGAGCAAACCGG